AGAGUUUGAUCAUGGCUCAGAUUGAACGCUGGCGGCAGGCCUAACACAUGCAAGUCGAGCGGCAGCACAAGUGAGUUUACUCAUGAGGUGGCGAGCGGCGGACGGGUGAGUAAUGCCUAGGGAUCUGCCCAGUCGUGGGGGAUAACAGUUGGAAACGACUGCUAAUACCGCAUACGCCCUACGGGGGAAAGGAGGGGACCUUCGGGCCUUCCGCGAUUGGAUGAACCUAGGUGGGAUUAGCUAGUUGGUGAGGUAAUGGCUCACCAAGGCGACGAUCCCUAGCUGUUCUGAGAGGAUGAUCAGCCACACUGGGACUGUGACACGGCCCAGACUCCUACGGGAGGCAGCAGUGGGGAAUAUUGCACAAUGGGGGAAACCCUGAUGCAGCCAUGCCGCGUGUGUGAAGAAGGCCUUCGGGUUGUAAAGCACUUUCAGUAGGGAGGAAAGGUUAGUAGUUAAUACCUGCUAGCUGUGACGUUACCUACAGAAGAAGGACCGGCUAACUCCGUGCCAGCAGCCGCGGUAAUACGGAGGGUCCAAGCGUUAAUCGGAAUUACUGGGCGUAAAGCGUGCGCAGGCGGUUGAUUAAGCGAGAUGUGAAAGCCCCGGGCUCAACCUGGGAAUUGCAUUUCGAACUGGUCGACUAGAGUCUUGUAGAGGGGGGUAGAAUUCCAGGUGUAGCGGCGAAAUGCGUAGAGAUCUGGAGGAAUACCGGUGGCGAAGGCGGCCCCCUGGACAAAGACUGACGCUCAGGCACGAAAGC
RNAcentral lists this ribosomal RNA (763 nucleotides) under uncultured bacterium. RNAcentral's name for it is "bacterial SSU rRNA". It matches the Rfam family "Bacterial small subunit ribosomal RNA", at positions 8 to 760 of the family's 1533-position model. The record is from RNAcentral.